CAGCCGGCAACUGGAAGUCUCUGCCCCAUUUCACCUGAUGUACAAAUUACAGCUCUAUGAAUGGACUUUUGAUUGGGGUGAAUGACUGGGUUCAUGGAAAGUAAAGCUAAAUAAACAUGCACUCUGUAGAACCCGGAGCAGCAGACUCUUGCAGGUUUUGGGUCGUUGGAGCAUCGCCGAACUUCAGGUGACGGACUAUUUCCUGACAUUCUACAAGAAAAUUUUUAGUUUGAAUUAAUUGUAGCCUCUAUGGAAGCAAGCUGCCCAGGCCCUAAAGGCCAUACUUCACAGAAGGGAUGAGGU
Xenopus laevis (African clawed frog) is the source of this 303-nucleotide long non-coding RNA. RefSeq lists it as uncharacterized. Lineage: Eukaryota; Metazoa; Chordata; Amphibia; Anura; Pipidae. The record is from RefSeq and is a predicted model, not a curated record. The transcript is spliced from 3 exons.